UAGUUACCAUCAUUAAGUUGGGUACUCUAUUGAGACUGCCGCUGACAAGGCGGAGGAAGGUGGGGACGACGUCAAGUCAUCAUGGCCCUUACGACCAGGGCUACACACGUGCUACAAUGGGUAUUACAGAGGGCUGCGAAGGUGCGAGCUGGAGCGAAACUCAAAAAGGUACUCUUAGUCCGGAUUGCAGUCUGCAACUCGACUGCAUGAAGUCGGAAUCGCUAGUAAUCGCAGGUCAGAAUACUGCGGUGAAUACGUUCC
RNAcentral lists this ribosomal RNA (261 nucleotides) under Francisella tularensis. RNAcentral describes it as "partial ribosomal RNA". It matches the Rfam family "Bacterial small subunit ribosomal RNA", at positions 1112 to 1374 of the family's 1533-position model. The record is from RNAcentral. Lineage: Bacteria; Pseudomonadati; Pseudomonadota; Gammaproteobacteria; Thiotrichales; Francisellaceae.